Molecule: long non-coding RNA, 1092 nt
Filed under: Vigna radiata
Lineage: Eukaryota; Viridiplantae; Streptophyta; Magnoliopsida; Fabales; Fabaceae
Description: long non-coding RNA (VRAD_LNC013074)
Source: RNAcentral
UAUGUAAUUUUCGUAUAUAAUUACAUAUAUAUAUAUAUAAUUAAAACAUGGUCAAAGAUGCUUUUGUAGGUUGCACUGACUACAACAACAAAUGAAUGCAUACGUAGUGGUGGGAAUUGCCACAAAGAGGGGCAUAGGGACACAAUGGCAAUGCAGAAGAAUGGUAGAAAAGGAAGAAGAUCGUCUUAGUGUUUAAUGGAAGUGCAGAAGGUCAUUGGGAAUUGCCAACCCAAGGGGCAUAGAGAUACAGUGGCAGUGUAGAAGAAUGGUAGAAAAGGAAGAAGUAUGUCUCAAUGUUUAACAGAAGUGCAGAAGGUCACUGGGAAUUGCCACAACAAGGGGGCAUAGGGACACAAUGGUAGUGCAGAAGAAUGGUAGAAAAGGAAGAAGACUGUCUCAGUGUUUAAUGGAAGUGCAGAAGGUCACUGGGAAUUGCCUACCCAAGGGGCAUAGAGACACAAUGGCAGUGCAGUAGAAUGGUAGAAAAGGAAGAAGUACGUCUCAGUGUUUAACAGAAGUGCAGAAGGUCACUGGGAAUUGCCACAAAAAGGGACAUAGGGACACAAUGGUAGUGCAGAAGAAUAGUAGAAAGGGAAGAAGAUCGUCUCAGUGUUUAAUGGAAGUGCAGAAGGACUCACUGGUAAUUGCCACAACAAAGGGCAUAGGGACGCAAUGGUAGUGUAGAAGAAUGGCAUAAAAGGAAGAAAACAGUCUCAAUGUUUAAUGGAAGUGUAGAAGGACUCAUGGUCUAAGUCUAAAAUGGAAGUGUAAAAGGACUCAUGGGGUGGUCCUUGUUCUCCUUGUCUCAUCUUGCUAAAUCUUCUUCCUACUAUCACGUGAAAUUGAAUUCUUCUAAGGAAGAAAUGAUCACCGCCAAUAUUGGAUUUAAUUUAUUUUUCGUUCAUAUCUGUGCAUUUAUGUUCAUAUAUUUAUAUUAUGUUUUUAUAUUUAUAUUCCAUUUUUAUAUUCACUACAAGAAAAAACACUAUUACAUACGACCAAAAUUCGUAUAUAACCUCAAAAAAUCGUAUGUAUUGAUAUGUUACAUACAGAUUACAUAUAGACAAAAUUUUGUAUGUAACAUGGUCCCAG